Molecule: ribosomal RNA, 1459 nt
Filed under: uncultured bacterium
Lineage: Bacteria
Description: bacterial SSU rRNA
Rfam family: Bacterial small subunit ribosomal RNA
Source: RNAcentral
GAUGAACGCUAGCGGCAGGCUUAACACAUGCAAGUCGAGGGGCAUCGGGAGGGAAGCUUGCUUUCCUUGCCGGCGACCGGCGCACGGGUGAGUAACACGUAUGCAACCUGCCCUCUUCAGGGGGACAACCUUCCGAAAGGGAGGCUAAUCCCGCGUAUAUCGGUUUCGGGCAUCCGAGAUCGAGGAAAGAUUCAUCGGAAGAGGAUGGGCAUGCGGCGCAUUAGCUUGACGGCGGGGUAACGGCCCACCGUGGCGACGAUGCGUAGGGGUUCUGAGAGGAAGGUCCCCCACACUGGUACUGAGACGCGGACCAGACUCCUACGGGAGGCAGCAGUGAGGAAUAUUGGUCAAUGGGAGAGAUCCUGAACCAGCCAAGCCGCGUGAGGGAAGACGGCCCUAUGGGUUGUAAACCUCUUUUGUCGGAGAACAAAACCCGGGACGUGUCCCGGACUGCGUGUAUCCGAAGAAAAAGCAUCGGCUAACUCCGUGCCAGCAGCCGCGGUAAUACGGAGGAUGCGAGCGUUAUCCGGAUUUAUUGGGUUUAAAGGGUGCGUAGGCGGUCCGUUAAGUCAGCGGUAAAAUUGCGGGGCUCAACCCCGUCGAGCCGUUGAAACUGGCAGACUUGAGUUGGCGAGAAGUACGCGGAAUGCGCGGUGUAGCGGUGAAAUGCAUAGAUAUCGCGCAGAACUCCGAUUGCGAAGGCAGCGUACCGGCGCCACACUGACGCUGAGGCACGAAAGCGUGGGGAUCGAACAGGAUUAGAUACCCUGGUAGUCCACGCAGUAAACGAUGAAUGCUGGUUGUCCGGGUCGAAUGAGAUCUGGGCGGCGAAGCGAAAGCGAUAAGCAUUCCACCUGGGGAGUACGCCGGCAACGGUGAAACUCAAAGGAAUUGACGGGGGCCCGCACAAGCGGAGGAACAUGUGGUUUAAUUCGAUGAUACGCGAGGAACCUUACCCGGGCUCAAACGGGAGCGGAAUGGACCAGAGACGGUUCAGCCUACGGGCCGCUUCCGAGGUGCUGCAUGGUUGUCGUCAGCUCGUGCCGUGAGGUGUCGGCUUAAGUGCCAUAACGAGCGCAACCCCCGCCGGCAGUUGCUAACGGGCAAUGCCGAGGACUCUGCCGGGACUGCCGCCGCAAGGCGAGAGGAAGGCGGGGAUGACGUCAAAUCAGCACGGCCCUUACGUCCGGGGCGACACACGUGUUACAAUGGGCGGUACAGCGGGAAGCCAGGCGGCGACGCCGAGCGGAACCCGAAAGCCGUUCUCAGUUCGGAUCGGAGUCUGCAACCCGACUCCGUGAAGCUGGAUUCGCUAGUAAUCGCGCAUCAGCCAUGGCGCGGUGAAUACGUUCCCGGGCCUUGUACACACCGCCCGUCACACCAUGAGAGUUGGGAAUACCCGAAGCCUGUGAGCUAACGAAAGAGGCAGCAGUCGAAGGUAGAAUCAAUGAUUGGGGUG